UUACGGCCAUAUCACGUUAAAACACCGGUUCUCGUACAAUCGCCGAAGUUAAGCAAAUUCGAGUACCUAGAUGGGUAACCGCUCGAGAAUACUAGGUGCUGUG
Acanthosepion pharaonis is the source of this 103-nucleotide non-coding RNA. The record is from the annotation of a GenBank genome assembly. NCBI's taxonomy places the organism in Eukaryota, Metazoa, Mollusca, Cephalopoda, Sepiida, Sepiidae.